This 77-nucleotide transfer RNA is filed under the name Clostridiales bacterium. RNAcentral's name for it is "tRNA-Val". It matches the Rfam family "tRNA". Rfam says of the family: Transfer RNA (tRNA) molecules are approximately 80 nucleotides in length. Their secondary structure includes four short double-helical elements and three loops (D, anti-codon, and T loops). Lineage: Bacteria; Bacillati; Bacillota; Clostridia; Eubacteriales. The record is from RNAcentral.
GGGCGGUUAGCUCAGCUGGUCAGAGCGCCUGCUCGACAAGCAGGAAGUCAUUGGUUCGAAUCCGAUACUGCCCACCA